Long non-coding RNA from Scomber japonicus (chub mackerel), 1119 nucleotides. RefSeq lists it as uncharacterized. Lineage: Eukaryota; Metazoa; Chordata; Actinopteri; Scombriformes; Scombridae. The record is from RefSeq and is a predicted model, not a curated record. The transcript is spliced from 4 exons.
UUCCUUCCUCCUUCCUUCCUCCUGUUCCUUUCCCAAAAACGACUUUUUAAUAAAAGUAAGGAAUGAAAAAUAUACAAAUGAUUAAAGUUAAAAGUCUAAAUUCAGUCUUAAAGCAGAACAAUCUGAUCUCAUGUGGGCCGGACCAAUAAAAGGAAGGAAGGAAGGAAGGAAGGAAGGAAGGAAGGAAACAAGGAUGGAAAGAAGGGUAAAGUGAUAGGAAGGAAAGACAAAAGGAAGGAAGGACGGGAGGGAGGAAGGAAAGAAGGAAGGAAGGAAAAGGGAUUAGGAAGGAGGGAAGGAAAAACAAAAGGAAGGAAGGAAGGAAGGAAAAGGGAUUAGGAAGGAGGGAAGGAAAGACAAAAGGAAGGAAGAAAGGAAGGAAAAGGGAUUAGGAAGGAGGGAAGGAAAGACAAAAGGAAGGAAGGAAGGAAGGAAAAGGGAUUAGGAAGGAGGGAAGGAAAGACAAAAGGAAGGAAGGAAGGAAGGAAAAGGGAUUAGGAAGGCGGGAAGGAAAGACAAAAGGAAGGAAGGAAGGAAGGAAAAGGGAUUAGGAAGGAGGGAAGGAAAGACAAAAGGAAGGAAGGAAGGAAGGAAGGAAAAGGGAUUAGGAAAGAGGGAAGAAAGGAACAAAAGGGAAGACAGGAAGGAAAAAUGGAACAAAGUCAGUCAGACAGGAAGUCAGACAGGAAGUAGAUUCAAUUAAAGCUCCUUCAGGUCAGUCAGACAGGAAGUAGAUUCAAUUAAAGCUCCUUCAGGUCAGUCAGACAGGAAGUCAGACAGGAAGUAGAUUCAAUUAACGGAUUCUUCCAGUUUCACUUCAUAAUAUCUCAGUUCCUGGUUCACCCUUCACUAGAUGUCUCUGUUAGAGGUUAAUUCAUCAUUUAUUCGUCAGUAACUCGUCAGCUUUGAUUAUAAAGUUAAACAUUAUAACUCCGAACACGUUAAUCAUCAGUUUCUGUUUCUUCAGACUAGAAAAAGGUUUGAGAUCAUUUUAAAUAUGUUUCGUUUUGAGUUAACCGUUAAUAAAAGUCUGAUGAAGGGUGACAGGAAGUGACAGGAAGUGACAGGAAGUGACAGGAAGUGUUUCAUCACAAACUUCCCAAAAACCUGAAACUGUCU